GGCUCAAUGGUCUAGUGGUAUGAUUCGCGCUUCGGGUUGAUAACCCACCGCCUGACAACAGGCAGAAGAUGUGCGAGGUCUCGGGUUCGAUCCCCGAUUGAGCCC
Non-coding RNA from Achaetomium macrosporum, 105 nucleotides. The record is from the annotation of a GenBank genome assembly. NCBI's taxonomy places the organism in Eukaryota, Fungi, Ascomycota, Sordariomycetes, Sordariales, Chaetomiaceae.